AGUGUAGCGGGUGAACAGCGUAGAUAGAGGGAAGGAACACCAGUCGGUGAAGGCGACCGACCUGGGCUCAUUCUGACACUGAGGUGCGAAAGCGCAGGAGCAAACAGGAUUAGAUAUCCUGGUAGUCCACGCCGUAAACGAUGUCAACUAGCCGUUGGGAGUCUUGAACUCUUAGUGGCGCAGCUAACGCAUUAAGUUGACCGCCAUGGGGAGUACGGCCGCAAGGUUAAAACUCAAAUGAAUUGACGGGGCCGCGCACAAGCGGUGGAGCAUGUGGUUUAAUGGGAAGCAACGCGAAGAGCCUUGCCAGGCCUUGGCAUUCAAUGAACUUUCCAGAGAUGGAUUGGUGCCUUCGGGAACAUUGAGACAGGUGCUGCAUGGCUGUCGUCAGCUCGUGUCGUGAGAUGUUGGGUUAAGUCCCGUAACGAGCGCAACCCUUGUCCUUAGUUACCAGCAAGUUACGGUGGGCACUCUAAGGAGACUCCCGGUGACAAACCGGAGGAAGGUGGGGAUGACGUCAAGUCAUCAUGGCCCUCCGGCCUGGGCUACACACGUGCUACAAUAGUCGGUACAGAGGGUUGCCAAGCCGCGAGGUGGAGCUAAUCUCACAAAACCGAUCGUAGUCCGGAUCGCAGUCUGCAACUCGACACGUGCAAGUCGGAAUAGCUAGUAAUCGCGAAUCAGAACGCUGACGUACCGGGC
RNAcentral lists this ribosomal RNA (702 nucleotides) under Pseudomonas sp. MFAE88. Its description in RNAcentral is "bacterial SSU rRNA". It matches the Rfam family "Bacterial small subunit ribosomal RNA", at positions 672 to 1373 of the family's 1533-position model. The record is from RNAcentral. Lineage: Bacteria; Pseudomonadati; Pseudomonadota; Gammaproteobacteria; Pseudomonadales; Pseudomonadaceae.